This 479-nucleotide ribosomal RNA is filed under the name Erwinia sp. 01WB02.2-35. RNAcentral's name for it is "bacterial SSU rRNA". It matches the Rfam family "Bacterial small subunit ribosomal RNA", at positions 1 to 479 of the family's 1533-position model. The record is from RNAcentral. Lineage: Bacteria; Pseudomonadati; Pseudomonadota; Gammaproteobacteria; Enterobacterales; Erwiniaceae.
UAGAGUUUGAUCAUGGCUCAGAUUGAACGCUGGCGGCAGGCCUAACACAUGCAAGUCGAACGGUAGCACAGAGAGCUUGCUCUCGGGUGACGAGUGGCGGACGGGUGAGUAAUGUCUGGGAAACUGCCUGAUGGAGGGGGAUAACUACUGGAAACGGUAGCUAAUACCGCAUAACGUCUUCGGACCAAAGUGGGGGACCUUCGGGCCUCACACCAUCGGAUGUGCCCAGAUGGGAUUAGCUAGUAGGUGGGGUAAUGGCUCACCUAGGCGACGAUCCCUAGCUGGUCUGAGAGGAUGACCAGCCACACUGGAACUGAGACACGGUCCAGACUCCUACGGGAGGCAGCAGUGGGGAAUAUUGCACAAUGGGCGCAAGCCUGAUGCAGCCAUGCCGCGUGUAUGAAGAAGGCCUUCGGGUUGUAAAGUACUUUCAGCGGGGAGGAAGGCGAUAAGGUUAAUAACCUAUCGAUUGACGUACC